GACAAGUACUUCUUGGCAAUCUAGCAGCCGCCGCCUCUGUGAGAGGACCCGACUUGACAAGUCGGGCAGCCUGGGUGGAGGAUUUGUUCGGCAGUCCUGGGUGUGUAGCUCUUGCACCUAUGAAGGAAAGACUCUUUCUUCAAAUAAUGACUCAGCGUACCUAUAGUGCUGGUGUACCUGCAUCCAGGAAGCCUAGAGCAAUGCAGAUGCUGUUACAUAGUAAAGACGUUCUUUGCUCUCAGACGCUUCUGUUACCCUUGAGCCCUGCAACAUCAGACACAGAUUGCAAAAUGGUCAAAGAAGAGACUGUGAAAGAGGUGUCAGAUGAAGAUUUUAAACUGUGAGUAAUUUUUUUCAGAUAAACAAGGAGGGAUAAAGAACUAGCGUCUCACCCUCAAGCAACGUUUUUUUCUGCCCAGCCUGCCUUUUUUAAGGCCAACAUCUAGCAAAUCACACCCAGUUUUGCUGGGUAUGCGGAGCAUGGGUCAAAAAAUGGCAUCUUAAGUAGGCUA
This 512-nucleotide long non-coding RNA is filed under the name Struthio camelus australis. RNAcentral describes it as "lncRNA (ENSSCUG00000003141.1)". The record is from RNAcentral. Lineage: Eukaryota; Metazoa; Chordata; Aves; Struthioniformes; Struthionidae.